This 563-nucleotide ribosomal RNA is filed under the name Sylvirana guentheri. Its description in RNAcentral is "partial 16S ribosomal RNA". It matches the Rfam family "Bacterial large subunit ribosomal RNA", at positions 1820 to 2612 of the family's 2925-position model. The record is from RNAcentral. Lineage: Eukaryota; Metazoa; Chordata; Amphibia; Anura; Ranidae.
CUCUUGACACCCAUAAGAGGUCCAGCCUGCCCAGUGACACAAUUUAACGGCCGCGGUAUCCUAACCGUGCGAAGGUAGCAUAAUCACUUGUUCUCUAAAUAAGGACUAGUAUCAACGGCAUCACGAGGGCUAUACUGUCUCCUUUCUCCAAUCAGUGAAACUAAUCCCCCCGUGAAGAAGCGGGGAUUUGAAUAUAAGACGAGAAGACCCCAUGGAGCUUAAAGCACUAUAUUCACCACCUUUCUCUUACAACAACUUAAUUCUAAGACCUGAAUAUUAGCUUUUGGCUGGGGGGGCCGCGGAGUAAAACCCAACCUCCGCAACAAAUGGGCUACGCCCUUAUCUAAGAGUUACGACUCUAAGAAUCAACAAACUGAUGUACCUUGACCCGAAUAAUCGAUCAACGAACCAAGUUACCCUGGGGAUAACAGCGCUAUCUACUUCAAGAGCUCAUAUCGACAAGUAGGUUUACGACCUCGAUGUUGGAUCAGGGUAUCCCAGUGGUGCAGCCGCUACUAACGGUUCGUUUGUUCAACGAUUAAAACCCUACGUGAUCUGAGUCA